AUUUUUGUAGUUGAAAUACAACAAUGCUUUUUCAUACCACAGGUAAUGGUUAAAAUCCAUGCUAAAAUA
Molecule: transfer RNA, 69 nt
Filed under: Monodelphis domestica (gray short-tailed opossum)
Lineage: Eukaryota; Metazoa; Chordata; Mammalia; Didelphimorphia; Didelphidae
Rfam family: tRNA
About the family: Transfer RNA (tRNA) molecules are approximately 80 nucleotides in length. Their secondary structure includes four short double-helical elements and three loops (D, anti-codon, and T loops).
Source: Rfam by way of RNAcentral